UACUUUGCGGUUUCAGCAUUUCCCGCCAUGGAAGCCAUGGAAGUCGAAGCAGAGCGCAACAUCCAGAGAAAGCAAGCUCUCUACCACUCCACGGGCGAGAGGUUCGAGAUACAGAAGGAGAUCUACAGGGGCCAGCAGUACAGCCAGAUAUACUUUGCGAGGCUCCAUUUGAUGAGAACUCUCCUUUACUCCCUCCUCCCCAAUUGGAAGCCCCAUUUGCCUGUCUGUACAGUUUUGGGACUGGAAAAAGGAAAAGAAUGCAUAAUUGUUGGAACACUCUACAAGUACAUGAAGCUCAAACCGACUAUUCUAGAUGAGUACUCCAAGGAGAGAUCUGCAACCCCACUUGUAAAGCCUCAUAAUUUUAUGCACUCAGAUGAUUAUUUGGUUUUGGAAGAUGAAAGUGGAAGAGUUAAACUUCGUGGAAAUGUGCUUCUACCUUCUGUUUAUGUAACAGGAAUUGUGGUUGCAUUGCAUGGGAAGGAAACUGAUGCUGGUGAUUUUUGGGUUGAGGAAGUCCUAGAAGCUGGCUUAGGAGACCAGAUUGAGUUGCCGCUUAAAUCAGGAGAAGACAAAUUUGUCGUUUUUGUAUCGGGUUUGAGCAUUGGAAGCGGUGCUAACCCCCUUCACUCCCAGCUUCUUGUUGAUCACAUAACAGGGUACCUAGGAGAUGAAAAGGAACAGAGUAUUGCAGCUCAAAUAGUACAAGUAAUAAUUGCUGGGAAUUCUGUUGAAAUUUCUCGUGGACUUCUUAAUGGUCAGAAUUUGGCUUCAAAGGAUCAAUCUAAAUUAUCUGAGCCAAUCAAAGAGCUGGACAUCUUGUUGACUCAGAUUGCAGCUGGUGUACCUAUAGAUAUAAUGCCAGGACCUAGUGACCCGGCAAAUUUCUCCUUACCACAGCAGCCUCUGAAUAGAUGUCUAUUCCCUGGGUCAUCAGCUUAUAACACUUUUAGGUCCUGUAAUAACCCUCAUUCUUUCGAGCUUGACAAUGUCAGAUUUCUUGGAACUUCUGGUCAGAAUAUUGAUGAUCUAGAGAGAUAUUCGGAAGCAAAAGAUAAACUAGAAUUUAUGGAGCGGACAUUGAGGUGGAGGCAUCUAGCGCCAACAGCACCAAAUACUCUCGGAUGUUAUCCCUUUUCUGAUAAAGAUCCUUUCUUCAUUGAAAGCUGUCCCCACGUUUAUUUUGUUGGAAAUCAGGAUAAGUACGAGACUCGCCUAAUACAAGGAUCAGAAGGACAGGUGGUAAGACUUAUAUGCAUUCCCAGAUUUUGUGAGACGGGGAUGGCUGUAUUGGUAUAUCCUUCUGUCUUCCCAGCUGCACAAAAAUUAGAUGCAAUUAUGGGCUAUUAGAAGCUUUGGUUUCGGAUAGGAAACUGUGCUUGAGAUCAUUCAAUCGUAAACUGAAAUGCUUCUUACAAUCACUUGAAUUGGAGAAGUGGCCUAUCCUUGUGUGAAGGAGUGCCACCAAGCUAUGCCAUGAGCAUAGCCUUCUGAACCCAUGGCCUGGGAAUUGCAUAAUGUCAAAACAUUUUGAAUUUGAUACAGGAAUGCUCAUGACUACAGCCGGAAGAUACUUCAAAUCGAUUGAACUUGAGAAAUCUUGAAUGCCAUGCUCUCAGUUUUGGGACUCAAUUCAGCUCAUGAGUGAUUGAAGCUUGAAUUGCUCUCUACAGUGGAGUUGCGUUCUUUCCAAGACGGAAGAUCCAUGCUUGGGCCGGAGGUCAGUAGCUGCCUGUACAGGGAGUUGCAGAUGUACACAGUUCUUUUAUUUUGAUUCCAAGAAUGUCCAAAACCUUUGAUGUUUCCAGCAUCCAACCACUGAGAACCCUAAAGAGAUGAAACUGUCAGCCAAAUGUUGGAUUAGUGUUUUUGUACCCUCUUUUUUCGAAUGAAAUUGUAGGAUUCCCUA
Molecule: RNA transcript, 1909 nt
Organism: Diospyros lotus (date-plum)
Lineage: Eukaryota; Viridiplantae; Streptophyta; Magnoliopsida; Ericales; Ebenaceae
Gene name: DNA polymerase delta small subunit
Exons: 16
Source: RefSeq, a predicted model, not a curated record